CAGUCGCCACGGUAAUACGGAGGGCGCGAGCGUUACCCGGAUUUACUGGGCGUAAAGGGCGUGUAGGCGGCCUGGGGCGUCCCAUGUGAAAGGCCACGGCUCAACCGUGGAGGAGCGUUGGAUACGCUCAGGCUAGAGGGUGGGAGAGGGUGGUGGAAUUCCCGGAGUAGCGGUGAAAUGCGCAGAUACCGGGAGGAACGCCGAUGGCGAAGGCAGCCACCCGGUCCACUUCUGACGCUGAGGCGCGAAAGCGUGGGGAGCAAACCGGAUUAGAGACCCCAGUAGUCCCUGUCUCUUAUAA
Molecule: ribosomal RNA, 301 nt
Filed under: uncultured bacterium
Lineage: Bacteria
Description: partial 16S ribosomal RNA
Rfam family: Bacterial small subunit ribosomal RNA
Source: RNAcentral